CCCACAGUGCAUGUGCAUGUGUGUAUGGCCACAUACAUGUUCCCAUGUGUGCACAUGUGCAUAAACACACAUACAUACACUCACACACACUUCUGGAAGUAGAU
This 104-nucleotide microRNA precursor is filed under the name Chlorocebus sabaeus (green monkey). Its description in RNAcentral is "miRNA (ENSCSAG00000025004.1)". Lineage: Eukaryota; Metazoa; Chordata; Mammalia; Primates; Cercopithecidae. The record is from RNAcentral.